CACAUUCUAUAUUGAAACUGGGCCUGUGAUCCAGAAGGCCUGCUCUUAACUGGCUUCCGGUGGGGGCUCGCAGACAUCGACGGUGCCAAGCUCUAAGACGUCUUUCCCAGCUCUCCAAAUGUCUUGCACACCUCCCCUUCUCCACUGAAUUUGUGAUCAAGUGUUAAAUUUAAAGAUGCGGCAGCUGAGGCAUGGGGAGGCUAAAUAAUGUGCUUUGGCCUUGCUACCUAAGUCAAAGAGCAACAAGGUGGUGGAGCUGAAGUCUGAGUCCAAGAGGUUUGAACCCAAGUGGAUACUUUCAGCCACUUCACUGUAUAGUGUCCCUGGAAAAUGCUCACGAAGUAUUUACAAAUAAAUUAAUUAAUGGAUAAGUGGCCUUAUAUAUGGUCCAUUGCUAGGAGAGAAACAUGGAAGAAAAUGCUGGAGGGAGCGAAGAAAAUGCAGCAAGAGUUUACACAGCCAGAAUUGUGGAAUGAAAAGGAAAAGAGG
This is a long non-coding RNA of Zalophus californianus (California sea lion), 489 nucleotides long. RefSeq lists it as uncharacterized. The transcript has 3 exons. NCBI's taxonomy places the organism in Eukaryota, Metazoa, Chordata, Mammalia, Carnivora, Otariidae. The record is from RefSeq and is a predicted model, not a curated record.